GAUGAAGAACGUAGGCGAAAUGCGAUAAGUAGUGUGAAUUGCAGAAUUCAGUGAAUCAUCGAAUCUUUGAACGCACAUUGCGCCUUCUAGUAUUCUGGGAGGCAUGCCUGUUUGAGCGUCAUUAAACCUCUCUCAAGUAUGAUUACUUGGAUGUGAAGGAAGAGUACCUUAAACUUAAGGAGUGUUCUCCUUUGAAAUUGAUUAGCAGAUGGUAAUGUUAUUAAAUCCCUGAUGUUGUAAGAAAUAACAGUGGUUUUGUAGACUAUUAUCUAGCUUUAAAUUAUAAUUUUUAUUAUGGUUGACCUCAAAUCAGGUAAGGAUACCCGCUGAACUUAAGCAUAUCAAUAAGCGGAGGA
This 356-nucleotide unclassified non-coding RNA is filed under the name soil metagenome. Its description in RNAcentral is "partial contains 5.8S ribosomal RNA, internal transcribed spacer 2, and large subunit ribosomal RNA". The stretch from base 1 to 121 matches the Rfam family "5.8S ribosomal RNA", at positions 35 to 154 of the family's 154-position model. The record is from RNAcentral.